Molecule: long non-coding RNA, 325 nt
Organism: Mustela erminea (ermine)
Lineage: Eukaryota; Metazoa; Chordata; Mammalia; Carnivora; Mustelidae
Exons: 4
Source: RefSeq, a predicted model, not a curated record
AGCUGUCGUGAUGUGGAUUCAUCAAGAGAAGGUUUGCCACACAUGUUGGGGAGCAGAGAGGCAAGCGCCAUGCCUUCCCGGAGACGGAAGAAGAUUGAGCGAGAUUACAUCUCAUUGAACAAUCAUUGGGCUCUUUCUUGCCCUGGAGACUCAAUGAUUUUAUGUCUGAAGGUUCAUAAGUCACAAGAUAUCUGGAAUUAGGUGGUGAAUAAAAGUUCUGUCCAGCCAGUUCUUCUUCCAGUUAAUGACAAAGCCACCUUGGAAGGUAUGAAAGACUGAGUCAAUUUGAAUCCAGGAGGAAUAUCAGAGGAGGAAGGCAAAGACU